CUACGGGAUGCUGCAGUGAGGAAUAUUGCGCAAUGGGGGAAACCCUGACGCAGCGACGCCGCGUGGAUGAUGAAGGCCUUCGGGUCGUAAAAUCCUGUCAGAAGGAAAGAAGUGUAUGGUAGCUAAUAUCUGCCAUACUUGACGGUACCUUCAAAGGAAGCACCGGCUAACUCCGUGCCAGCAGCCGCGGUACUACGGAGGGUGCAAGCGUUGUUCGGAAUUACUGGGCGUAAAGCGCGCGUAGGCGGUUUUAUAAGUCAGAUGUGAAAGUCCACGGCUCAACCAUGGAAGUGCAUUUGAAACUGUAAGACUUGAGUAUUGGAGGGGGUAGUGGAAUUCCCGGUGUAGAGGUGAAAUUCGUAGAUAUCGGGAGGAAUACCGGUGGCGAAGGCGACUAUCUGGCCAAAUACUGACGCUGAGGUGCGAAAGCGUGGGGAGCAAACAGGAUUAGAUACCCUCGUAGUC
This 465-nucleotide ribosomal RNA is filed under the name uncultured bacterium. RNAcentral's name for it is "partial 16S ribosomal RNA". It matches the Rfam family "Bacterial small subunit ribosomal RNA", at positions 339 to 795 of the family's 1533-position model. The record is from RNAcentral.